RNAcentral lists this RNase P RNA (341 nucleotides) under Candidatus Nanopelagicaceae bacterium. Its description in RNAcentral is "RNase P RNA component class A". It matches the Rfam family "Bacterial RNase P class A". From Rfam's summary of the family: Ribonuclease P (RNase P) is a ubiquitous endoribonuclease, found in archaea, bacteria and eukarya as well as chloroplasts and mitochondria. Its best characterised activity is the generation of mature 5'-ends of tRNAs by cleaving the 5'-leader elements of precursor-tRNAs. The record is from RNAcentral. Lineage: Bacteria; Bacillati; Actinomycetota; Actinomycetes; Candidatus Nanopelagicales; Candidatus Nanopelagicaceae.
UGAGUCGCCCGGAUCACCGCGUUGAGAAAUCACCGAGGAAAGUCCGGACUCCACAGAGCAAAGCGGUGGGUAAUACCCACCCGGAGCAAUCCGCGAGCAAGUGCAACAGAGAGUAAACCGCCAACGUAAGUUGGUAAGGGUGAAACGGUGGUGUAAGAGACCACCAGUAUCUGUAGCAAUACAGGUAGCUAGGUAAACCUCGCUUGGAGCAAGACCAUGUAGUUAGCGUUUGAGAGCUGCUCGCUCGAGUUAACGGGUAGGUUGCUUGAGUUUGUUAGUAAUAACAAACCUAGAUGGAUGGUGAUCGAUCACAGAAUCCGGCUUAUAGGGCAACUCAAUUA